AGAUUGAACGCUGGCGGCAGGCCUAACACAUGCAAGUCGAGCGGCAGCACGGGUACUUGUACCUGGUGGCGAGCGGCGGACGGGUGAGUAAUGCCUAGGAAUCUGCCUGGUAGUGGGGGAUAACGCUCGGAAACGGACGCUAAUACCGCAUACGUCCUACGGGAGAAAGCAGGGGACCUUCGGGCCUUGCGCUAUCAGAUGAGCCUAGGUCGGAUUAGCUAGUUGGUGGGGUAAUGGCUCACCAAGGCGACGAUCCGUAACUGGUCUGAGAGGAUGAUCAGUCACACUGGAACUGAGACACGGUCCAGACUCCUACGGGAGGCAGCAGUGGGGAAUAUUGGACAAUGGGCGAAAGCCUGAUCCAGCCAUGCCGCCGUGUGUGAAGAAGGUCUUCGGAUUGUAAAAGCACUUUAAGUUGGAGGAAGGCAGGUACCUAAAUACGUAUCUGUUUGACGUUACCGAACAGAAAUAAGACAACCGGCUAAACCGUUCUAGUGACCUAGCAA
This 506-nucleotide ribosomal RNA is filed under the name uncultured soil bacterium. RNAcentral describes it as "bacterial SSU rRNA". It matches the Rfam family "Bacterial small subunit ribosomal RNA", at positions 26 to 523 of the family's 1533-position model. The record is from RNAcentral.